AGUUUGAUCCUGGCUCAGGACGAACGCUGGCGGCGUGCCUAAUACAUGCAAGUCGAGCGAAYCAAUAGGAGCUUGCUCCUGUUGGUUAGCGGCGGACGGGUGAGUAACACGUGGGCAACCUGCCUGUAAGACUGGGAUAACACCGGGAAACCGGUGCUAAUACCGGAUAAUCCUUUUCCUCUCAUGAGGAAAAGCUGAAAGUCGGUUUCGGCUGACACUUACAGAUGGGCCCGCGGCGCAUUAGCUAGUUGGUGAGGUAACGGCUCACCAAGGCGACGAUGCGUAGCCGACCUGAGAGGGUGAUCGGCCACACUGGGACUGAGACACGGCCCAGACUCCUACGGGAGGCAGCAGUAGGGAAUCUUCCACAAUGGACGAAAGUCUGAUGGAGCAACGCCGCGUGAGCGAUGAAGGCCUUCGGGUCGUAAA
This 429-nucleotide ribosomal RNA is filed under the name Bacillus sp. R-31850. Its description in RNAcentral is "bacterial SSU rRNA". It matches the Rfam family "Bacterial small subunit ribosomal RNA", at positions 10 to 429 of the family's 1533-position model. Lineage: Bacteria; Bacillati; Bacillota; Bacilli; Caryophanales; Bacillaceae. The record is from RNAcentral.